Molecule: ribosomal RNA, 680 nt
Filed under: Plenckia integerrima
Lineage: Eukaryota; Viridiplantae; Streptophyta; Magnoliopsida; Celastrales; Celastraceae
Description: eukaryotic LSU rRNA
Rfam family: 5.8S ribosomal RNA (bases 255-410)
Source: RNAcentral
UUUCCGUAGGUGAACCUGCGGAAGGAUCAUUGUCGAAACCUGCGAAGGCAGAACGACCCGCGGACGAGUGAGAACCCUACCGGCCCGACGUCCGGGGAGGGGGCUGCGGGAAACCCCGUCUCCCUCUCCCGCGGGCACGAACAACGACCCCCGGCGCGAACCGCGUCAAGGAAACUGAAAAAGAUGUGCGAUCCCCUCGUCCCGGAGACGGUGUCGCGGGGGGGUCGCGUCGUCGUCGGUAACGCAGACGAAACGACUCUCGGCAACGGAUAUCUCGGCUCUCGCAUCGAUGAAGAACGUAGCGAAAUGCGAUACUUGGUGUGAAUUGCAGAAUCCCGUGAACCAUCGAGUUUUUGAACGCAAGUUGCGCCCGAAGCCGCGAGGCCGAGGGCACGCCUGCCUGGGUGUCACGCAACGUCGCCACGAAUCCACUCGCCCCGUUCCCCGCGGAACGUCGAGUCGAGGGAUGGCGGAGAUUGGCCUCCCGUGGGCUCUCGCUCGCGGUUGGCCCAAAAAACAGGGUCCCCUGGCGACGGCAGCCACGGCACGCGGUGGUUGGCAGCACGAGCUCCCGUAACACCGUCGUGGGCGAGCCUCGUCGAUGGGGUGCGAAGGGCCCCGACGCAUGCGUCCCCUCUAAAAGCGACCCCAGGUCAGGCGGGAACACCCGCUGAGUUUAA